GUCCUAGCGCGGGCACGCAGUCGCCACCCUAACUACGAGAGCGUGUCUUGGGGAAAAGCGCGAUGCUUUUUGCCCUGCGGCGUCAGUGACCGUAAGCAGCCUUCGGAGCGACUGACCCACAGCUCUAAAGGACAGCUAGCGCCACUGUUGAGACAGAAAACUGAGGCUAUGCCUGGGAAACUGUGGAUGAGUUGGAGAGCAACCCCUCCAAAGCGUCCCAAGCACUUGGUGUUUUUCUGAGCCAAACUCCCUUCUUAGAGACUAAUUAGAUGUUCCUGAUGGUCGAGUUCACCACCACAGUGAGUGGUGAAGACAUCCCAGUCAACAGAUGGUGCUGUGUGCCCGUGUCCUAGUGGUCACCCUGAGAGAUCUCCUGCUUCUGCCCUUCCCCCUUCUCCAUCCACACCAGUGUGCUGUUGCCACCCUGCUGCAGAGCAUAUUGUCACAUCCAGCAGCUGCCUUAACCUGUGACCUCUGGAACCUUGUUUCCCUCUUCCCCAACCUGUCCCUCAUCUUCCCCGUGCCCUUUUGAUGUUUCUCCAUGGAGUCUGAGGGCUUUACUGGAUCCAGAAAGGAUGUCCUGUGCCAAGUCUGUUGAUGGUGAUGUUGGUACUCCUCAUUGCUCUUCAUCAGCCACAGUGGACAGCAACAAGGCCAGCAGCGACUCUCCCUGUGACUGCUGGGGGACAUUCCUCCUCUGCCUCUGUUCCUGCAUUUCCUUCCUUGAGGUCCUGUGGCUCCUGGUGUAUACCCCACUAGGUCUCACCUCCAUGCUCCUGAGCACUGAGAAACUGCUGGUCAAGGCUAUUAGAAGAGCUGAACUGCUCCACCUCUGAAAGGGCAGUUCUGACCCUGGAUAUCUACAAUCCCUCCUGCUGCCAGCUACCUUCCACACAGGGCUGCUGCUUCACAGAUAGACCCUGGUUCUGCAGACCUGGAGGGUCCUGCUGGAGACCCAGAAGAAGGCCCAGCCACAGGACAUGAGCAGCCCUCCAGCCCUGCUGUGUUUGCUGGCACUUUCUUGUGACCAUCCAUGCCAGGAGCUGCUCAUCAGUUUGUGCGUGAGGCACGAGCUGAGGCAGCUUCUCCAUCUGGAGCAUGAGAUGGUGAGGGGAAGCUCCAGGUCUCCCAGCAGAGGGAAAAUUGCCUGCUGGAACGCUGUUGAGAAGAAAUGUGGACUGUCUCCAGGUGUCACACAGGAGAUUUAAACCCUGGGCCAGAGAGAUGUUCAGUGAGAAAAGUGCUUACUACCAAGCCUGAUGGCUGAAUUUGAUCCCAGAAGCCAAAUGGUGGAAAGAGAGAACUGACUCCCACAAAUUGUCUUAUAACCUUCAUAUACGUGUGUUUGUGCAUGCAACAUACAAAAUAAAUAAAUGUUUAAAAUUAAAGAAUUAAAUAUUGGC
This 1403-nucleotide long non-coding RNA is filed under the name Cricetulus griseus (Chinese hamster). Its description in RNAcentral is "lncRNA (ENSCGRG00015042117.1)". Lineage: Eukaryota; Metazoa; Chordata; Mammalia; Rodentia; Cricetidae. The record is from RNAcentral.